CCUAAAGCUGAACACAGGACUCUCUGAUCAAGCAACUUGGGCAGACAAAAUUCUAUCUUUGUGGAAAGUUUCUGACCAAAGAUUUGGGAAAAUAAUAAACACAGAGUUAUAGAACGGAUGAAGUUGGAAGUGACUUCUGGAGGUCACUUGGUUCAACCCCUGCUCCAGCAGGGACACCCAGAGCAGGGUGCCCAGCACUAUAUCCAGUGGCUUUUGGAGAUCUCCAAGGAGGACACCCCACAACCUCUUGGCAACCAGCACAGUACAGAAAUGCUCCUGCUCAUCUGAGGGAACCUCCUGUGCUCCAGUUUGCACUCAUUGCCUCUUGUCUUGGCACUGCUGGACAGAUCCUGGCCCCAGGGAGCUGCACUCAGCCAGCCCCCACGGCCCCAUGCUGGAGCAAAACGCUUCUGAGUUCUGACUUGCACUGGAAUGUUUGCUUCAUGCACAGCUGACACUGUUUUGUAACACAUAAACACACUGCUGCUAAAACCUAAGUGGUGUAAUUGCUGGUCUUUGAAAAUUCUAAUUAUAUGGAGUAUUAGGAAAUAACUCAAGAACUUGGAUAAGGUCAGGAGAUUUGGAUGAGCUGUCAGUGACGCAACCUCUGUGCCUCCAACUCCCUGCAAAUUAAUCAUUUUCCACACUUAAUGUCUACAUUCUCCUUCUCCUCAUAACACGAUGCUGCGGGCAAUAUGCUUCAUAGGGUGUCCUACAUCCUUCCUUGCUCCAUCACAGCAGCCUUUGUCCUGCUCAGCCCCAUCACCCAGGCUGCCCUCCCGCAAUUUCACUUUUGUAAGGUGAAGCAUGCCCUCCUUGGGCAGGUCCUAUAUCCAAAAAUUCCUACCUGACACUUCCAGUGGGUUGCAGACACUGCUGGUGCAUCAACCGUCACACCAUGGCAGUUAACCCAUUACCUGCAGGGGCAAAAGAGAAAGCAACAGCAACGGACCACAAUCCUUAGAUGUAUCUACAAUCACAGUUCCUUACCUUCCUUUGCUGAAAUGCUGAGAUUCUCAAAGGUUUGGAAAAGCUGCUUAAAUGCCUUGGAGGAACAUGGCUUCAAUUACUUCUCUCAUCUGUAUUCCAUCCAUUUGCCUUGCUCACUGCUAUAAUCAGAGGGGAUGCAGUCAAAUAUCUCCCCAUCUCCUGUACAUCCCCAGGCAAUAAUUCAUGGUAGACAAUAGCAGCAUAUCUACUCAUCACAGCUGGCAUCGUGACCUAGAAAAAAGGAUGAUGAGGAAAAUAAAGGAGCUUCUUGCACAUGAAUAUGUGUAUACACAGACUCAACAGAACACAGAGUCUUCAGGGAAGAGCAGAGAGGCUUUCUUGUUCUUACA
Molecule: long non-coding RNA, 1340 nt
Filed under: Gallus gallus (chicken)
Lineage: Eukaryota; Metazoa; Chordata; Aves; Galliformes; Phasianidae
Description: lncRNA (ENSGALG00010011517.1)
Source: RNAcentral